CAACCUGCCCACCACUUGGGGAUAACCUUGCGAAAGUAAGACUAAUACCCAAUGAUAUCUCUAGAAGACAUCUGAAAGAGAUUAAAGAUUUAUCGGUGAUGGAUGGGGAUGCGUCUGAUUAGCUUGUUGGCGGGGUAACGGCCCACCAAGGCAACGAUCAGUAGGGGUUCUGAGAGGAAGGUCCCCCACAUUGGAACUGAGACACGGUCCAAACUCCUACGGGAGGCAGCAGUGAGGAAUAUUGGUCAAUGGACGAGAGUCUGAACCAGCCAAGUAGCGUGCAGGAUGACGGCCCUAUGGGUUGUAAACUGCUUUUAUAAGGGAAUAAAGUGAGUCUCGUGAGGCUUUUUGCAUGUACCUUAUGAAUAAGGACCGGCUAAUUCCGUGCCAGCAGCCGCGGUAAUACGGAAGGUCCGGGCGUUAUCCGGAUUUAUUGGGUUUAAAGGGAGCGUAGGCCGGAGAUUAAGCGUGUUGUGAAAUGUAGACGCUCAACGUCUGCACUGCAGCGCGAACUGGUUUCCUUGAGUACGCACAAAGUGGGCGGAAUUCGUGGUGUAGCGGUGAAAUGCUUAGAUAUCACGAAGAACUCCGAUUG
This 595-nucleotide ribosomal RNA is filed under the name uncultured Bacteroidota bacterium. RNAcentral's name for it is "bacterial SSU rRNA". It matches the Rfam family "Bacterial small subunit ribosomal RNA", at positions 122 to 715 of the family's 1533-position model. The record is from RNAcentral. Lineage: Bacteria; Pseudomonadati; Bacteroidota.